This 320-nucleotide ribosomal RNA is filed under the name uncultured eukaryote. RNAcentral describes it as "partial 18S ribosomal RNA". It matches the Rfam family "Eukaryotic small subunit ribosomal RNA", at positions 1470 to 1796 of the family's 1831-position model. The record is from RNAcentral.
CCCCUAGAUGUUCUGGGCCGCACGCGCGCUACACUGAACAGUUCAACAAAUCUUAACCUUGGCCGAUAGGUCUGGGUAAUCUUUGAACGCUGUUCGUGAUUGGGAUAGACCUUUGCAAUUAUGGGUCUUCAACGAGGAAUUCCUAGUAAACGCAAGUCAUCAGCUUGCAUUGAUUACGUCCCUGCCCUUUGUACACACCGCCCGUCGCACCUACCGAUUGAAUGGUCCGGUGAAAUCUCGGGACGGCGGCUUGGUCGCUUGCGUCCGACUGCUGAAACUUGAUUAAACCAUAUCAUUUAGAGGAAGGUGAAGUCGUANCA